GAGUUUGAUCCUGGCUCAGAACGAACGCUGGCGGCGUGGAUAAGACAUGCAAGUCGAACGGAGUUACUUUUGUAGCAAUACAGAAGUAAUUCAGUGGCGAACGGGUGCGUAACACGUGGGCAAUCUACCGAAAAGUGGGGGAUAGCUCGCCGAAAGGCGAAUUAAUACCGCAUAUGGUCAGGGAAGACAUCUUUCUGAAUCCAAAGCCGGGGUCGAACCUGGCGCUUUUUGAGGAGCCCGCGGCCUAUCAGCUAGUUGGUGAGGUAACGGCCCACCAAGGCUUUGACGGGUAGCUGGUCUGAGAGGACGACCAGUCACACUGGAACUGAGACACGGUCCAGACACCUACGGGUGGCAGCAGUCGAGAAUUUUUCUCAAUGGGGGCAACCCUGAAGGAGCGACGCCGCGUGGAGGAUGAAGGCUUUCGGGUUGUAAACUCCUGUCAUUUGAGAACAAGGUGCGAGUGUUAACUGUACUCGCAUUGAUAGUAUCAGAAGAGGAAGGGACGGCUAACUCUGUGCCAGCAGCCGCGGUAAUACAGAGGUCCCAAGCGUUGUUCGGAUUCAUUGGGCGUAAAGGGUGCGUAGGUGGCGCCGUAAGUCGGGUGUGAAAUUUCGGAGCUUAACUCCGAAACUGCAUUCGAUACUGCGGUGCUUGAGGACUGGAGAGGAGACUGGAAUUCAUGGUGUAGCAGUGAAAUGCGUAGAGAUCAUGAGGAAGACCAGUGGCGAANGCGGGUCUCUGGACAGUUCCUGACACUGAGGCACGAANGCCAGGGGANCAAACNGGAUNANAUACCCCGGUAGUCCUGGCAGUAAACGGUGCACGUUUGGUGUGGAAGAUUCGACCCNUUCCCCCCNGANCUAACGCGUUAAACNUGCCNCCNGGGAGUACGUCNCAANAUUAAACUCAAANAANUNACGGGGCCCCCNAACNGUGGAAUNUGGGCUUAAUNCNANCAACNCNAAAACCUNACAGNCUUGAAUGCNUUNUAACNGGUGAAACCCUGANUUCNAAAAAAAAUUGCA
Molecule: ribosomal RNA, 1028 nt
Filed under: uncultured bacterium
Lineage: Bacteria
Description: partial 16S ribosomal RNA
Rfam family: Bacterial small subunit ribosomal RNA
Source: RNAcentral